Molecule: ribosomal RNA, 442 nt
Filed under: uncultured bacterium
Lineage: Bacteria
Description: partial 16S ribosomal RNA
Rfam family: Bacterial small subunit ribosomal RNA
Source: RNAcentral
CCUACGGGAGGCAGCAGUGGGGAAUAUUGGGCAAUGGGCGCAAGCCUGACCCAGCAACGCCGCGUGAAGGAAGAAGGCUUUCGGGUUGUAAACUUCUUUUGUCAGGGAAGAGUAGAAGACGGUACCUGACGAAUAAGCCACGGCUAACUACGUGCCCGCAGCCGCGGUAAUACGGAGGUGGCAGGCGUUGUCCGGAUUUACUGGGUGUAAAGGGCGUGUAGCCGGGUUGACAAAUCAGAUGUGAAAUCCUGCGGCUUAACCGCAGAACUGCAUUUGAAACUGUUGGUCUUGAGUACUGGAGAGGCAGGCGGAAUUCCUAGUGUAGCGGUGAAAUGCGUAGAUAUUAGGAGGAACCCCAGUGGCGAAGGCGGUCUGCUGGACAGCAACUGACGGUGAGGCGCGAAAGCGUGGGGAGCAAACAGGAUUAGAUACCCCAGUAGUC